GGUAGCGUGGCCGAUCGGUGUAAGGCGCUGGUUUAAGGCACCAGUCUCACCGUAGCCGUUUGUUCGAAUCCCACCGCUGCCA
This is a non-coding RNA of Trichonephila clavipes, 82 nucleotides long. The record is from the annotation of a GenBank genome assembly. Lineage: Eukaryota; Metazoa; Arthropoda; Arachnida; Araneae; Nephilidae.